GACGAACGCUGGCGGUGUGCUUAACACAUGCAAGUCGAACGGUAAGGCCCUUUCGGGGGUACACGAGUGGCGAACGGGUGAGUAACACGUGAGUAACCUGCCCUCAUCUCUGGGAUAACAGUCGGAAACGGUUGCUAAUACUGGAUAUGAGCUUGCAAGGCAUCUUGUGGGUUGGAAAGAUUUUUUUUGGUUGGGGAUGGACUCGCGGCCUAUCAGCUUGUUGGUGAGGUAGUGGCUCACCAAGGCUUCGACGGGUAGCCGGCCUGAGAGGGCGACCGGCCACAUUGGGACUGAGAUACGGCCCAAACUCCUACGGGAGGCAGCAGUGGGGAAUAUUGCACAAUGGACGGAAGUCUGAUGCAGCAACGCCGUGUGCGGGAUGACGGCCUUCGGGUUGUAAACCGCUUUCAAUUGUGACGAAGCUUUUUUGUGACGGUAGCAGUAGAAGAAGCACCGGCUAACUACGUG
Molecule: ribosomal RNA, 468 nt
Filed under: uncultured bacterium
Lineage: Bacteria
Description: partial 16S ribosomal RNA
Rfam family: Bacterial small subunit ribosomal RNA
Source: RNAcentral